GGCGCAAGGGUGCGUAACACGUGGGUAAUUUGCCAGGAAGUUCGGGAUAACUCGCUGAAAGGCGAGCUAAUACCGGAUGUGAUAAUCGGGGGGCAUCUCUUGAUUAUUAAAGUUGGGGACCGCAAGGCCUGACGUUUCCUGAUAAGCCCGCGGCCUAUCAGCUAGUUGGUGAGGUAACGGCUCACCAAGGCUAAGACGGGUAGCUGGUCUGAGAGGACGACCAGCCACACUGGAACUGAGACACGGUCCAGACACCUACGGAUGGCAGCAGUCGAGAAUUUUUCACAAUGGGCGCAAGCCUGAUGGAGCGACGCCGCGUGGGGGAUGAAGGGCUUCGGCCCGUAAACCCCUGUCAUUUGCGAACAAACCUCGCUAUUUAAAAGAUGGCGAGCUGAUGGUAGCGAAAGAGGAAGGGACGGCUAACUCUGUGCCAGCAGCCGCGGUAAUACAGAGGUCCCAAGCGUUGUUCGGAUUCACUGGGCGUAAAGGGUGCGUAGGUGGUGAGGUAAGUCGGAUGUGAAAGCUCCGAGCUCAACUCGGAAAUGGCAUUGGAAACUACCUUGCUAGAGGGUUUGAGGGGAGACUGGAAUACUUGGUGUAGCAGUGAAAUGCGUAGAUAUCAAGUGGAACACCAGUGGCGAAGGCGAGUCCCUGGAAAACUCCUGACACUGAGGCACGAAAGCUAGGGGAGCAAACAGGAUUAGAUACCCUGGUAGUCC
Molecule: ribosomal RNA, 719 nt
Filed under: uncultured bacterium
Lineage: Bacteria
Description: bacterial SSU rRNA
Rfam family: Bacterial small subunit ribosomal RNA
Source: RNAcentral